This 25-nucleotide non-coding RNA is filed under the name Rattus norvegicus (Norway rat). The record is from RNAcentral. Lineage: Eukaryota; Metazoa; Chordata; Mammalia; Rodentia; Muridae.
GAGUAAACGUAAUACACGUGUCUUC